Long non-coding RNA from Anolis carolinensis (green anole), 3388 nucleotides. RefSeq lists it as uncharacterized. Lineage: Eukaryota; Metazoa; Chordata; Lepidosauria; Squamata; Anolidae. The transcript is spliced from 2 exons. The record is from RefSeq and is a predicted model, not a curated record.
GGGGCGAUAGGAAGGUCGGACAGUGAUUGGCUCCGCGUCCAUGACGUUCAACUCCCAUUCGAUAGGAGUUCAGACAAUCUGAGAUUCCCUCACGUUUCUCGGCCCGCCCCCUCUGCAAAGGGACCCAAUUGAUGAAAGACGGAGGCAGGCUCUGCUUACAGCCGAUUGGGCAAUCUAAUAGAGGGACUUUAAAGCCGUCUACUGAUUGGGUGAGAGAAGAGACAACGUAGAGCGAUUCUUCGCUACAGCGAUUAUUACUGGCUGACGUUCGGUGAAGAGGAAGUAUCUCAACCAAGCUAAUGCAAACGGAGCUCUGAUUGGUCGAGUUGUUGUUGUGGUGUUGGGAAAGGGCUUUUUCCCCCUCUGAGGCUAGAGGGCGAAGGUCACCGCGCGCAGGCAAGGCGCAGUUCCCAUGGCAACAGCAGACAGGCUCUUCCUACUGCUAGGCCCGUCUUGCUCUCGGAGCAGGAACCAAUCGCCGGCAGAAGAGGAAGAGGCCUAACUGCGUGGCUUGUGCCUGCAGGCCUUUUUCUCGCUUCCAAAAUGGCUCCCCCUCCUGCCGCUUUCGCCACGACCACUGGCCGACCUCGUUCCAGGCGCAAAGAUGAGUGCAUACAUAGACUGCAGCCAGAAAAUCAGAAGACGUCUACUUCUUGGGAGGAGAGCAAUAACCAAUUUCGAUAAAAUAGUUACGAGUAGACACAUCCCACUGGCAACAAAGGUCCACAGUGUUAAAGCAAUGGUAUUCACUAUAGUAACCUAUGGAUGGAAGAGCUGGACCAUAAGGAAGCCUGAGAGAAGGAAGAUAUCAACUGUGGUGUUCAAGGAAAAUUCUGAAUGCCUAGAGAAGAUCAAACCAGUCCAUACUCCAGGAAAUAAUGCCCAACUGCUCACUGGAGGGAAGGAUAUUAGAGGCAGAGAUGAAGUACUUUGGCCACAUAAUGAGAAGACAGGAAAGCUUGAAGAAGAGAAUGAUGGGGGGAGGGGGGAAAGGAAGGAAAAAGGAAGAGACGCCGACCAUGGGCAAGAUGGAUGGAUGUUAAUCCUUGACGUGACUGGCUUGACCUUGAAGGAGCUGGGAGUGGCCACUGCCAACAGGGAGCUCUGGCGUGGGCUGGAAGUGAUGAAUAAAUAACAAUUUUGAAUAGUAACUCAGAAGCAACCAGAAACUACAUUUACACGGAAUCUACCAAUCCUAAUAUGUGCCGGUUAGCUGAGUUUGUUGCAUUUUUUUUAUGCCAGCCUCCAGGUACAUAGGCACAGCGCUGCUGUGAGUUUAAACCAGCUUGCAAUUUGUUUCACUGUCAUGCCUUUAAAAUCCCAUUAAAGGUGCGAAGGAGAGAGCGUAGAAGAUUCAGCCGCGAAAUUCAGUCUGGAGAAUGAUUCAGAUAGCAUUAGGCAGGGACUGUUCUGGCAGAUUGGGCCAAUGAUUCAGAAAAUCUUACAAAAGCCUCUUGAUCAUAGAACUGGAAGAGACUCCAAGAGCUGUCUGUCCCAACCCCAUCCUAUCAUUGCAGGAAAAAAUAGAGCCCUCCCGACAAAUGGCCACCCAGCCAUUGAGCAGCAGUGGCACAAUGGGAUAAACCCUUGUGCUGGCUGGACUGCUGACUUUCGGGUUGGGUUGCUGACCUGAAGGUAGCCAGUUCAAAUCUGUGAGAUGGGGUGAGCUCCCGUUAGUUCUAGCUUGCACAGACAUGAGAGAGGCAUCCCCUGGGCAAUAUCUCAGUAGACGGUCAAUUCUCUCACACCAUUCGCGACUUGGAGUAUGUCUUCAAGUUGCUUCUGACACAAUUUUUUUAAAAGCCUCUGUUUAAAAAUUGCCAGAGAAGGAGACUCAUUCAUAAUCCCAAGACAGCACAUUCUACUACUGAAAGGCUGUUAUUGAAAUAAAGUCCUUCUUCGUGUUUAGGUGGAAUCUCUUUUCGUGCAAUCUGAAUCCACUCCUCUAUUGCGCCUUUGUCUCCAGAGCAGAAAAAAGAAGCUUGCCCCUCCUCAAUAGGACAUCCUGUCAUGUAUUAAAACAUGGCUGCUAUGUUCCUUCUUAGCCAUCUCUUUUCCAGGUGAAACAUCCCCAGAUCCCUAAGCCGCUCUUGUUGGCAUCAAGAGUCAUUCUACGUGGAACUUCUAUUUACCUCUCACGGCUAAAUUGCACUGCUAAUAAUAGGUUGGACACCAAGAGAGCUUUCUAUAAAUAAACAUGACAGUGAUGAAUUAGACACACAGGGUGAACAAAUACUGUUAGAUUUCAUUCUAAUCUAAGAAUGACUCCUGUCUGGUUAAACACAAGCCCUUUGUUUAAAGAAAAGUUACAAAAAACAAGGGCAUUUAGGUAAACACCUGGCAUGAAAGAUGCACAGUUCACACAUAUAGGAUGUAGGACAACAGCCAAUUAGAAGAUAGGAAACAACAGCCAAUUAGCAACAGCAUGUAAGUGCUUAAAAAUACCAACAAAAAGGCAGUAAGAAUUCACAAAGCUUUGUUCUUCCUUGUGCAAAUAAUACAUAAAGUCCUUGUUUCUUCCUUCGUAACCUGUGUUUUUUUUUGGCUUGAGAGACUGUAACAGUUUCGGGUUACCAAAGGCUUAAAGGACCACUAAAAUGUAAGUAUCCCAACAUUUUAAAAUUCUUUCUUGAACUUGUCUUAAAUGAACACUGUGUGUCAGUGGACUCAAUAAAAACGGUAUCCCUCUUCAUGCACAUCUGUAACCAAAAUCUUACUUCUCCAUUGACAGCAAGUGCAAAUAUGCAUUUCAGUCACUUUAUUGAAAUGUCAUAAAUCAGAAGAACAUAGGAGGAUGAAUCCAAGCAAAGGACCUUCCUCUGACCUACACCCAACAGACGCUGGGAGAUCUUUUGCCUCUGUAUAUCGAGUCUUUCAUGCUAUUCCAAAAUGCCUCUCUUGCAUCUCAGUGUUAGAGGCAAGGGGGAUACUGUUCAAAGGGAAUUGAUUGGACUCCUGCUCACAGCCCAAUGGUGUAGGAACGUCCUGUGGGAUUGUGGAUGACAGAGCACAUAGGGGAGAUGACGGCCCACUCGUACCAAACCUUCUUGGAAGUGCUGCAACGCCAGAAAGCCACCUGGAUGUGCUCACCUGCCUGGAUGUUCAUGGGGUGCUGUGGGCAAAAGAGUGUCAUGAGCAGAGAUACUAUGUACUGGCCAAGAAUACAACAUCCAACACAGCUGAUGAGUCAUAAGCUUUCCAAUCUGCAGAAGCCCUGGUAACUGCCUCUGCAUCUGUCUGUCUGUUGUCUCUGUCUCAAUGUGUUUAUGGGCAUUGAAUGUUUGCCCUAUAUGUACAUAAUGUGAUCCGCCCUGAGUCCCCUUCGGGGUGAGAAGGGCGGAAUAUAAAUACUGUAAAUAAAUACAUAAAUAAACUAAUACAAGCUCUA